GGUCAUCUAAAGCAUAAAGAUAAAAAGGGAAAAAAUACACACAUAUAUUACGCAGGAUUCAUUGAGAAAAAGACCAAAGCAGCUUCUAAACGACUAAGAGCUUCACAAACGCUAUCAUGAUCCGAAGUUCAGUGAAAACUGUCUUUUAAUGUUCAGUCCUUCAUCCUGAAGAAUAACUAAAAUUAAGUAGUUUAUAUAUACAUCCACUCUAAAAAUGUCACAAUUGUUAAGUCACAAAAACUUUAUAAAUAGGGCACAAGUAGAAAAUUACCAAUGAAAAGAUAACAUAAGGUGGAUACACACUUGCUCCUUUUGAUAAAGAAAAAUAUUGAGGUUUUAAUACUAAGGGAUAAACUUAGAUAUAUCAGAAUUAAUCAAAUUGUGAAAAAAAAUACACAUUUUAAAUGUAGAUUAUUUAUCCAAGAAAUAUUUACUGAGAACCAUCUUCGUGCCAUGCAGUUUGCUAAGUGAUGGGGCUUAAACAGUGACCAGGAUAAAUAAACAAGGCCCCUGCCCGCAGGGGCUACGAGCCUAAUGGGAUAUGGACAAGCGCAAAAGUGUGAUAAUACUAGGAUGGGAGAACUAAACGGCAGUUAAAUAAAUAAUCAAAGGAGGGAAGGACACCGAACUUACAGAGGGUGACGGAAAGGCCUUUACGAAAAAGCCACAUCUAGCUGAGCCCAGAAGGACGCUUUAGCUAAGUUCAGAGGAAGACAAGCAUUCCAGGCACAGCAAAAGGCACGUGUGAAGAGCCGUGAGAAAGAGCAAUGCCGCAACAGGGACUUGAGGAAUGAUGAAACUGAUGAGAGAGGUCAGCAUGACAGUGGAGGUAAAUGGGGUCCAGCUCACACUGGGUCACGUGAGGAGUUUAGUGACUUCACCCUUGAUUAAUGGGGAGCCACUGAAGAUUUUUCAUCAGAAAGAAUAACAUGAUCAGAUUUGCAUUUAAAAUGUCACUAGAGGCCCCAGCCCAGUGAUAUACCAGGUUGCAAAUGGAAGGAGCAAAGGAGCAGAGAGGCUUGACUCUUCUAUCUGUGCAGAAAAGGAUGGAAAGGACCACUUGGAAAAUCCAGGGAUGGAGAGUGGGACGAGAAAAAGAAGAGGGAGCAAGGCCAAAGAGGAAGGUAAUGGGAGAAAAGAAAGAUGAGACUGCUGCCUAAGGAAGAGGGCCGACUGUCCCAGGAAGGCUUUGAACUGGAGUUUUAUGUUAUGUGCCAUAUAACCCCUUCCUCCACCACCCAUGGUUUGUCUAAUGUCUCCCGGACUGGGCUGGUGUUUUGGCUGUGUUUUUAAAUAAGACAAUAUGCCGAAGCAGGCUUUGGACAGGAGCAGAAAAACAGAGCUUUAUUUUUUAGGUUCCACAGGAGAGACGAGAGAUGACACACCCAAAAAGGCUAGCCGGGAGGUGUCAGAGGCACCAGUGGAAGGUCUCACUCUUUACUGCCACGGAAGGGAGAAGAGCCGUGACCGGCACAGGUGCAGUUAAGUCUGUAUGAUUCACGGCAAGAAACUGAGCAAGUUCUUGUUUAGUGGUUUGUUUUUCUCUCUGUAGAAGGGACAAGAGAAGGCUACCGGCUGAGGAAUAGCUUCUCCUACAAAUAAGGAGGGGAUUGAUAACUGUGGCUUUACUGCAAAAGAAAGAAGAGGUGAUGCAAAGCUGCAGUGAAACGGGAGUCGUGUGCAUUUGAAGGAACAGCAACGACAAGCAGCUGAAAUGACCAGGCCACAGAAUAUUUAAGCUCAAAUGCAGGAUAUUAUCCGGUGCUCCUGCAGAAGUGGAGGACAGACUUUAGUAGCUGCUUUUCAAAGAGCUAACAGCUUGCAUAAGCCAGUAAAGCAGGCGCACGGUUAGUUACAACAGCUGUUUUCCCCUUCUUUAUCAAGCAGCAAGUUCUCCUUGCCUACUCAGCAGGACAAAAAUCCUCAAAGAUAAAAUCAAGGCAAAACAGAUACAAAGCAAAAUCCAACCCCCCACACCAAAACAAGGAUACAUUUGUAAACUCCAGAGAAAAAAUAUCAACCGUACAACAAUCUCCUAAUCAGACGAGAUUAUUCAAGCAACCUACCUACCUCAAAAUAUAUUUCCAAGGGUGAAGACUAUCAUUUUAUGGGUAAUGUAAUUCAAAGAUGAAUGAAAAAGUGAUUCAGAAUGAAUGCAAGAAAAAAAAAUGAAUGCAUCAAACAAUGCACUAAACAAGACUGACAAAUCUUUUGCAAAAUUGUAACACUGUAUUCUCUGUAUUAAGCCGUAAACAAAGGGCUACAAUGACCUUCAACACAGGCCUCUCUGUUGGGCAGGUCAGGGUCAUGCUGAAAGCUUGACCCACUCCUCCAACUCAAAGGCUAGUUCUUCGAGAAUGAAGGAAGGGGUGCUUUAGGCUAAGGGCAGCAAGUAAAUGUGGGUCACAGAAGGCAGCAUCUCUGAGGAAUGGAAGUGCCCAAGUCCAAGUCCAAGAUCCACAGCUCACCUUAGCUGAAGAGGAAGAGUCAUAUGUUGAAAAAUGCUAUUUUUUUCUAUGAUAGAAGAUUAAACAAUGUAGUGUUUCAUCAGAAUGUA
Long non-coding RNA from Camelus dromedarius (Arabian camel), 2557 nucleotides. RefSeq lists it as uncharacterized. The record is from RefSeq and is a predicted model, not a curated record. The transcript has 2 exons. NCBI's taxonomy places the organism in Eukaryota, Metazoa, Chordata, Mammalia, Artiodactyla, Camelidae.